This 69-nucleotide transfer RNA is filed under the name Marmota monax (woodchuck). Its description in RNAcentral is "tRNA.Asp". Lineage: Eukaryota; Metazoa; Chordata; Mammalia; Rodentia; Sciuridae. The record is from RNAcentral.
ACAUGUAGCUCAGUGAUAGAGUGUUUUCCUAUCAUGCAUCAGGCUCUGGGUUCAAUCCCCAGUACUGCA